This 253-nucleotide ribosomal RNA is filed under the name uncultured bacterium. RNAcentral describes it as "partial 16S ribosomal RNA". It matches the Rfam family "Archaeal small subunit ribosomal RNA", at positions 474 to 727 of the family's 1478-position model. The record is from RNAcentral.
UACCAGCACCCCGAGUGGUCGGGACGAUUAUUGGGCCUAAAGCAUCCGUAGCCGGUCAUGCAAGUCUUCCGUUAAAUCCAGCCGCUCAACGGUUGGGCUGCGGAGGAUACUACGUGGCUAGGAGGCGGGAGAGGCAAGCGGUACUCAGUGGGUAGGGGUAAAAUCCUUUGAUCCAUUGAAGACCACCAGUGGCGAAGGCGGCAUCCUGGACUGGUCCUGACACUCAGGAGCGAAAGCGUGGGGAGCGAUCCGG